CUAUCCAAAGAAAUCAAACAGUGUCAGUGUUUUCCAAUGUGAUCUGUUCUUCCCUGUCUUGAAGGCUCGGAGAAGCAAAUCUCACCUGUAACCCCAUUCAUUGUCGUACCAAGCAACCACCUUGACCAUGUCGUCGCCCAUCACCAUGGUCAGCGAUGAAUCGAUGGUGGAAGACACGUCGCUGCAGCGGAAGUCGACGGACACCAGAGGCACGUCACACACCGCAAGGAUGCCCUUCAAUGGCCCCUGGGCCGCCUUCCUGAAGGCGUUGUUCACGUCCUCAGCCGUCAUCCCUUUCUUCGCCACGUUCACCACCAGGUCCACCACCGACACGUUCGGCGUCGGCACCCGGAGGGCGAUCCCGUUCAGUUUGCCCUUGAGUUGGGGCAGCACCAGCGACACCGCUUUCGCUGCUCCGGUGCUCGUCGGGACGAUGUUAAGUGCUGCAGCCCUCGCACGUCUCAGGUCCCGGUGUGAUGCAUCCAGCAACCUCUGCAGUCGCACACAUGAACAUAAAGAUACCGGGAGAAGGAGAUGAACAACGGAGACUGUAUCCAAAGGAGAACCUGAUCCCCUGUGUAAGAGUGAGUUGUUGUCAUGGUUCCCUUCACAAUGCCUGCAAGGAUUAGAAAAGGCAAUGGACGAGCUCAGUAAAAUGCAGGGCAAUCUUUGCUUUUCGGUAGAUUGCAGUGCAGAUACAAGCAAUUCAUACCAAAUUCUUCAUCCAUGACCUUCACAAAAGGAGCGAGGCAAUUCGUCGUGCAAGAUGCAUUGCUGCAAGUAGGAAUCGAACCAGUAAAUAUCAUGAUAUUAAUGGAACUACAAGGAAAGGAAAUUAAAGAUCAUCUUUGCCACCCAACCUGACUAUGUUUGACGCCUCGUGAUGGUAGUCGCCUUCGUUCACGCCGACAACGUAGGUUGGGAUAUCGGCUCCUUUCGCCGGUGCCGUGAUGAUAACCUUCUUCGCGCCGGCUUGUAUGUGUUUUCCAGCUCCUGGGCCAUCAACGAAGACUCCUGUCCCCUGUUUUCGGUGAACCUUGCAUGAGGUUCGUAAGCUCGGACAAGUGAAUCCUUUCAAUCAAACUCUGUAACAGUACCUCGAUGACAAUGUCGAUUCCUAGCUCGGCCCAUGGCAGCUUCAGAGGGUCACGAUUGGAGACGACCUUGAUGGGCUUGCCAUCAACACUUAUCGUCUCGUUGUCCACAAUCUUCACGUCAGCUUUGAAGGUGCCAAGCAUGGAGUCGUAUUUGAGAAGGUGAGAAGCCUAUGGGAGAAGGCCUUGUCAGAAACUUGGAACGGCAGUAAUAACACAAGCAUGAAGUGCAGGAGCAGAAGAGGAGAGACGUAUCGUACAUUCUUGACACCGCCACUGUCAUUUACGACCAGCACUUCGAGUGGGGAGUCCUUCCGGCCGUGCCAGCAGCGGAGGAAGUUCCGGCCAAUCCUCCCAAAGCCAUUGAUCGCAACCUUCAGCUUCGCGACGGUCUCCCCCCUAACAGGAACAGCCCUCGCAGUCUGAAGCUAUGAACAGAACCAAGAACAAAACCAUCAACUGACACAGAAUCAUGAUUCUACAAACAGAACACCAGCUCACGAUUUGCAAAGCAAAAAACCAUGACAAUUGCAGGAAAUAAUCGAUCACAAGAUCGAAUUUGACCAGAUUAAUAACAUCUUGGUAAUCAUUAUAAAAUCACUAGUACAGAUGAAGCAGAGCAACAUGCUUCCUGAAAUAUAGACUUGGAAGUUUGCUGCUGUCAUAGAACUUGCCUU
RNAcentral lists this long non-coding RNA (1771 nucleotides) under Musa acuminata (dwarf banana). RNAcentral describes it as "long non-coding RNA (MACU_LNC006771)". The record is from RNAcentral. Lineage: Eukaryota; Viridiplantae; Streptophyta; Magnoliopsida; Zingiberales; Musaceae.